UACAGAGGUCUCAAGCGUUGUUCGGAUUCAUUGGGCGUAAAGGGUGCGUAGGUGGCGCCGUAAGUCAGGUGUGAAAUUUCGGAGCUUAACUCCGAAACUGCAUUUGAUACUGCGGUGCUUGAGGACUGGAGAGGAGACUGGAAUUUACGGUGUAGCAGUGAAAUGCGUAGAGAUCAUGAGGAAGACCAGUGGCGAAGGCGGGUCUCUGGACAGUUCCUGACACUGAGGCACGAAGGCCAGGGGAGCAAACGGG
This 253-nucleotide ribosomal RNA is filed under the name uncultured bacterium. RNAcentral describes it as "partial 16S ribosomal RNA". It matches the Rfam family "Bacterial small subunit ribosomal RNA", at positions 524 to 776 of the family's 1533-position model. The record is from RNAcentral.